GAUGAACGCUGGCGGCGUGCCUAAUACAUGCAAGUCGAGCGAACAGACGAGGAGCUUGCUCCUCUGACGUUAGCGGCGGACGGGUGAGUAACUCGUGGAUAACCUACCUAUAAGACUGGGAUAACUUCGGGAAACCGGAGCUAAUACCGGAUAAUAUAUUGAACCGCAUGGUUCAAUAGUGAAAGACGGUUUUGCUGUCACUUAUAGAUGGAUCCGCGCCGCAUUAGCUAGUUGGUAAGGUAACGGCUUACCAAGGCGACGAUGCGUAGCCGACCUGAGAGGGUGAUCGGCCACACUGGAACUGAGACACGGUCCAGACUCCUACGGGAGGCAGCAGUAGGGAAUCUUCCGCAAAGGGCGAAAGCCUGACGGAGCAACGCCGCGUGAGUGAUGAAGGUCUUCGGAUCGUAAAACUCUGUUAUUAGGGAAGAACAAAUGUGUAAGUAACUAUGCACGUCUUGACGGUACCUAAUCAGAAAGCCACGGCUAACUACGUG
This 497-nucleotide ribosomal RNA is filed under the name uncultured bacterium. Its description in RNAcentral is "partial 16S ribosomal RNA". It matches the Rfam family "Bacterial small subunit ribosomal RNA", at positions 28 to 507 of the family's 1533-position model. The record is from RNAcentral.